UACGUAGGGCGCAAGCGUUGUCCGGAAUUAUUGGGCAUAAAGAGCUCGUAGGCGGCUUGUCACGUCGGUUGUGAAAGCCCGGGGCUUAACCCCGGGUCUGCAGUCGAUACGGGCAGGCUAGAGUGUGGUAGGGGAGAUCGGAAUUCCUGGUGUAGCGGUGAAAUGCGCAGAUAUCAGGAGGAACACCGGUGGCGAAGGCGGAUCUCUGGGCCAUUACUGACGCUGAGGAGCGAAAGCGUGGGGAGCAAACAGG
Molecule: ribosomal RNA, 253 nt
Filed under: uncultured bacterium
Lineage: Bacteria
Description: partial 16S ribosomal RNA
Rfam family: Bacterial small subunit ribosomal RNA
Source: RNAcentral